Molecule: non-coding RNA, 414 nt
Organism: Podarcis lilfordi (Lilford's wall lizard)
Lineage: Eukaryota; Metazoa; Chordata; Lepidosauria; Squamata; Lacertidae
Source: the annotation of a GenBank genome assembly
AGAACCCAAAACUAAGAAUUUGUCAAGAAUGUAUAACUUGCUGUUGAAAUGGAAUACUCAGGAUGAAAUGGUGAAAUCUGCUAUGAUUAAAUGGGCACAAGAUGUUGGACAUAAUAUUAUGUUUGCUGACUGGGAACAGUUAUGGACCACAGGUAUGAAGUUUACGGCAUGUAAUGCCCUAAGAGAGAAUAUUAUGAAAAUGAUAUACAGGUGGUACAUGACCCCAGUCAAGCUUGCAAAAAUCUAUCAUUUGCCCAAUAAUAAAUGCUGGAAAUGUAAAGAAACUGAAGGUACAUUCUUUCACCUUUGGUGGACGUGCCCAAGGAUUAAGGCUUUCUGGGAAAUGAUAUAUAAUGAACUGAAAAAGGUAUUUAAAUAUACCUUCUUGAAGAAACCAGAGGCCUUUCUUCUGGG